UGCUCUCCCGUGUUCACAUUGGAUCUGGUCUCUUCUUGGUUGUUGUCGGUGUUUCGUUACCGGCAAUGUCGUCGAGGGAUGGCCAAUUUGUUCGAAGGAGGGGGCGGGGGGCAUGUCAGGAUGGCAAACCACGGGACAUGGAUGUGAUUUAAUAUAAGCUUAUUCUUUGAUUUUCCACCGAGAUUCCUCACGCUGUGCACAGAUGAAGGAUGUUGGGCCAUUUAGAUGCCUUCUUCAGCGCGCCGUCAUCCUCUCCUCCUCUAGCCAACAUCAAUGGCAUUUCGGCGUUGAGGAGAAAGUAUCGUGUCACAUAUAUGCUGCUUGAUUCCCUGGAUUCUGGAUCUCCUUGGGAAAAAGUAGGUGAAUGAUUUUCAAAGGCUGUAGCUAAUGGAGACUGUAGCACGCUGGUAUAGUGUCAGGUCAUGACGAUCAUGAGUGUGUUGCAUGCCUGGGGCCUGGCUCGUUGCGUGCAGUGACCCAGUGGCCGACGUGGGUGAGGACCUGUAGACCGGGCACAACGGUGAGGAUGAACGAGAACGUGCUGACGCCUGUGCGCGCCACCACGCCCACCGCCAACUCCAGCUGCGGGCUUCAGCAGCACAUCAUCCCGCUGCUUGAGGUCAGAAUUCUCGUCUGCGGUGGCGAGGCAGAGACGGCGCUCGAGGGUAGGGGCUUGGACGCCGAGGCCGAGCGAGGGGAUGGCGAGGAGCUUGGAGACGAGUUGGUUGACGUGCUGGCCUGGGAGCUCUGGUCGGCGGCGUCAAACGCGCUGAUGUCGCCGAUGGGGAUGGACGGUGGGCCUGGUCAUACGGCCGAUUACGUUAUUACAGUUCAUUAGAGUAACCAAACAAAUUCUGUUUUUUCUCCAUUCCCUUUAUAGUAACUGUAUAACUCGAUUGUGUUUGCGUUUGCGUUAAGUUCCUUGCACCGAACACCUCCUAGGUGUAUACACGAGCAGCAAUUACGAAAACAGUAGAUGAUGUGCAAUUAGCAGUUUAUUAUGCCUUAAAAGACAACAUAUUUGUGUUCCAUGAUACAAGUAUUUGUUUGUGCUUCUUCCAUA
Aegilops tauschii subsp. strangulata is the source of this 1063-nucleotide non-coding RNA. NCBI's taxonomy places the organism in Eukaryota, Viridiplantae, Streptophyta, Magnoliopsida, Poales, Poaceae. The record is from RefSeq and is a predicted model, not a curated record.